This 484-nucleotide ribosomal RNA is filed under the name uncultured bacterium. RNAcentral describes it as "partial 16S ribosomal RNA". It matches the Rfam family "Bacterial small subunit ribosomal RNA", at positions 30 to 507 of the family's 1533-position model. The record is from RNAcentral.
AUUGAACGCUGGCGGCAGGCCUAACACAUGCAAGUCGAGCGGUAGAGCGAAGCUUGCUUCUCUUGAGAGCGGCGGACGGGUGAGUAAUGCCUAGGAAUCUGCCUGGUAGUGGGGGAUAACGUUCGGAAACGGACGCUAAUACCGCAUACGUCCUACGGGAGAAAGCAGGGGACCUUUGGGCCUUGCGCUAUCAGAUGAGCCUAGGUCGGAUUAGCUAGUUGGUGGGGUAAUGGCUCACCAAGGCGACGAUCCGUAACUGGUCUGAGAGGAUGAUCAGUCACACUGGAACUGAGACACGGUCCAGACUCCUACGGGAGGCAGCAGUGGGGAAUAUUGGACAAUGGGCGAAAGCCUGAUCCAGCCAUGCCGCGUGUGUGAAGAAGGUCUUCGGAUUGUAAAGCACUUUAAGUUGGGAGGAAGGGCAGUUGCCUAAUACGUAACUGUUUUGACGUUACCGACAGAAUAAGCACCGGCUAACUCUGUG